This 1007-nucleotide ribosomal RNA is filed under the name uncultured eukaryote. RNAcentral describes it as "SSU rRNA". It matches the Rfam family "Eukaryotic small subunit ribosomal RNA", at positions 728 to 1641 of the family's 1831-position model. The record is from RNAcentral.
UGGGGCCUGGUGGCGGGUUCCGCCCUUCAACCGGCGGCAAUUCGUUCCGGCCGGGCCCUUCCCUUUGGAAGGAACCCUCAUGCCCCUUCACUGGGGGCGUUGCUGGGGGGAAAUCAAGGGACUUUAUACCUCUUGGAAAAAAAUUUAGAGUGUUUCAAAAGCCAAGGCCCUUUUGCUCGAAUAACGGUUUAGCCAUGGAAUAAUAAAUAGGGCGUGCGUUUCUAUUUUGUUGGUUUCUAGAGACGCCGCAAUGAUUAACAGGAACAGUCGGGGGCAUCAGUAUUCAGUUGUCAGAGGUGAAAUUCUUGGAUUUACUGAAGACUAACUACUGCGAAAGCAUUUGCCAAGGAUGUUUUCAUUAAUCAGUGAACGAAAGUUAGGGGAUCGAAGACGAUCAGAUACCGUCGUAGUCUUAACCGUAAACUAUGCCGACUAGGGAUCGGGCGAUGUUCUUUUUCUGACUCGCUCGGCACCUUACGAGAAAUCAAAGUUUUUGGGUUCUGGGGGGAUUAUGGUCGCAAGGCUGAAACUUAAAGAAAUUGACGGAAGGUCACCACCAGGCGUGGAGCCUGCGGCUUAAUUUGACUCAACACGGGGAAACUCACCAGGUCCAGAUGAAAUAAGGAUUGACAGAUUGAGAGCUCUUUCUUGAUUUUUCAGGUGGUGGUGCAUGGCCGUUCUUAGUUCGUGGGGUGACUUGUCUGCUUAAUUGCGAUAACGAGCGAGACCUUACUCUGCUAAAUAGCCAGGCUAACUUUGGUUGGUCGCCGGCUUCUUAGAGAGACUAUCAACUCAAGUUGAUGGAAGUUUGAGGCAAUAACAGGUCUGUGAUGCCCUUAGAUGUUCUGGGCCGCACGCGCGCUACACUGACAGAGCCAACGAGUUCUUUUCCUUGUUCGAAAGAAUUGGGUAAUCUUGUUAAACUCUGUCGUGCUGGGGAUAAAGCAUUGCAAUUAUUGCUUUUCAAUCUAGGAAUGCCUGAGUAAGCGCGUGUCAUCAGCAUGCGU